RNAcentral lists this ribosomal RNA (773 nucleotides) under uncultured Neocallimastigales. Its description in RNAcentral is "partial large subunit ribosomal RNA". It matches the Rfam family "Eukaryotic large subunit ribosomal RNA", at positions 23 to 635 of the family's 3401-position model. Lineage: Eukaryota; Fungi; Neocallimastigomycota; Neocallimastigomycetes; Neocallimastigales. The record is from RNAcentral.
GACACGCUGUGACUAGCAUAUCAAUAAGCGGAGGAAAAGAAACUAACAAGGAUUCCCCUAGUAACGGCGAGUGAAGCGGGAAGAGCUCAAAUUUGAAAUCUUAAAGGGUUUCCCUUUACGAAUUGUAGUUUAAAGAAGUGUUUUCUGUUGAGGUUUUGGUAAAAGUUCUUUGGAAUAGGACAUCAUAGAGGGUGAGAAUCCCGUAUUUGACCUUUACUUUCAACUUUGUGAUACACUUUCAAAGAGUCGGAUUGUUUGGGAAUGCAGUCCAAAAUGGGUGGUAAAUUUCAUCUAAAGCUAAAUAUUGGCGAGAGACCGAUAGCGAACAAGUACCGUGAGGGAAAGAUGAAAAGAACUUUGAAAAGAGAGUUAAACAGUACGUGAAAUUGUCAAAAGGGAAGCGUUUGACACCAGUGUUGUUUUUCUGAAAAUCGAUUAAAGAACUGUUUAUGCUAAGUUGUUUAGACUUUAUCAGCUAACUGUUUAGUUUUGAGCUUUUCUUUAAUGCACUUUUCAGUUAACAAGUCAACAUCAAUUUCUUUUGCUGUAAAAAAGCUUGAGGAAGGUGGCUUGAGAUUCGUCUUAAGUGUUUAUAGCCUCUUGCCUAUGCAGUCGGAGAGAUUGAGGUCUGCAGCGUAGAUCCUUCGGGGCUAAAUGCAUUUGUGCUAAGUUAUAGCAUUUUAUAGACAACUUGUUGACUAUGAUUUGUCUUGUAGCUUACUCGCUUAUGUUAUUUUACCUACGCUUAGGAUGUUGAAGAUGUAGCACAUCAU